AUGGCUCGGUUUUCGACUCAUCUCGUCGCCUUGUUCCUCUUCUCACAUCUCGUGAUCCCCUCAUCAUCGGCGACAACUCGGCUCGGAGCCGAUCUCCUCGGCGCGGCGCGCGCGCCUCCGUUCGAAUCAUGGCUGCGCGGCCUGCGGCGCCGCAUCCACCAGCACCCGGAGCUGGCCUUCCAGGAGCACCGCACAAGCGAGCUCGUGCGCGCCGAGCUCGACGCGCUCGGCAUUCCAUAUGUCUGGCCCGUCGCCCAGACCGGCGUCGUGGCGACCAUCGCCGGAGGCGGCGGCGGCUCCGGGCCAGUCGUCGCGCUACGGGCGGACAUGGACGCGCUCCCCCUGCAGGAAUUGGUAGACUGGGAGUACAAGAGCCUCGAAAAUGGCAAGAUGCAUGCUUGUGGACAUGAUGCCCAUGUGACAAUGCUUCUAGGAGCUGCCAAGCUACUUCAAUCUCGGAAAGAAGAUUUAAAGGGUACUGUCAAGCUUGUGUUCCAGCCUGCUGAAGAGGGCUAUGCCGGGGCUUACUACAUUUUAGAGGAGGGUGUCAUCGAUGAUGUCUCCGCCAUUUUUGGCUUGCAUGUCUUCCCACAUCUUCCUGUAGGGGUUGUCGCAUCCCGGCCUGGUCCUUUCCUUGCAGCUGCAGCUCGGUUUACCGCAACAAUCACCGGAAAAGGCGGGCACGCCGGUAACCCUCACGAUGCCGUUGAUCCUGUCAUUGCUGCUUCCUCCGCCAUUCUCAACCUUCAGCAACUGGUCGCCCGUGAAACCGAUCCACUCGAAGCAGCUGUAGUGUCUGUUACACAGCUGAGAGGAGGUGAUGCUUACAAUGUAAUUCCCGAAUCUGCGUCGUUCGGUGGCACCUUUCGGAGCAUGACAGAUGAAGGCCUGUCAUAUCUAAUGAAAAGGGUCAAAGAGAUCAUAGAAGCCCAGGCUGCCGUGCAUCGCUGUGCUGCCACUGUCGACUUCAUGGAGGAGAAGCUAAAGCACUACCCAGCCACCGUCAACGAUGAAGGGAUGUAUGCCCAUUCCAAGGAAGUGGCCGAGGCCAUGCUCGGGGAAGCUAAUGUGAAGGUGGCUCCCCGGAGCAUGGGCAGCGAGGACUUCGCGUUCUACGCGCAGAGAGCGGUGGGCGCAUUCUUUUUCAUCGGCGUAGGCAACGAGACCACCAUGGAUAUGGUUCAUCCGGCGCACUCCCCACAUUUCGUCCUCGAUGAGGAUGUUCUUCCUAUUGGAGCUGCAUUUCACGCCGCGGUUGCCAUUGAGUACCUGAGCCGCUCUUGA
Molecule: ribosomal RNA, 1284 nt
Filed under: Triticum aestivum (bread wheat)
Lineage: Eukaryota; Viridiplantae; Streptophyta; Magnoliopsida; Poales; Poaceae
Description: partial small subunit ribosomal RNA
Source: RNAcentral